UACGGGGGGAGCAAGCGUUGUUCGGAUUUACUGGGCGUAAAGGGCGCGUAGGCGGCCAGCACAAGUCAGUUGUGAAAUCUCCGGGCUUAACUCGGAAAGGUCAACUGAUACUGUGCGGCUAGAGUGCAGAAGGGGCAACUGGAAUUCUCGGUGUAGCGGUGAAAUGCGUAGAUAUCGAGAGGAACACCUGCGGCGAAGGCGGGUCUCGGGACAGUUCCUGACGCUGAGGCACGAAGGCCAGGGGAGCAAACGGG
Molecule: ribosomal RNA, 254 nt
Filed under: uncultured bacterium
Lineage: Bacteria
Description: partial 16S ribosomal RNA
Rfam family: Bacterial small subunit ribosomal RNA
Source: RNAcentral